AUCAUGGCUCAGGAUGAACGCUAGCGGCAGGCCUAACACAUGCAAGUCGAGGGGUAACAGGGAGCUUGCUCCGCUGACGACCGGCGCACGGGUGCGCACCGCGUAUGGAACCUACCUUUUACAGGGGAAUAGCCCAGGGAAACUUGGAUUAAUGCCCCGUAGUACUAUUAUGUGGCAUCACAUUAUAGUUAAAGCCUUCGGGCGGUAGAAGAUGGCCAUGCGUCCCAUUAGUUUGUUGGUAAGGUAACGGCUUACCAAGACUACGAUGGGUAGGGGCCCUGAGAGGGGGAUCCCCCACACUGGUACUGAGACACGGACCAGACUCCUACGGGAGGCAGCAGUGAGGAAUAUUGGACAAUGGAGGAGACUCUGAUCCAGCCAUGCCGCGUGCAGGAAGAAUGCCCUAUGGGUAGUAAACUGCUUUUAUACAGGAAGAAAAAGGGGCACGUGUGCCCUACUGACGGUACUGUAAGAAUAAGGACCGGCUAACUCCGUGCC
RNAcentral lists this ribosomal RNA (498 nucleotides) under Cytophagales str. KAT7. RNAcentral's name for it is "bacterial SSU rRNA". It matches the Rfam family "Bacterial small subunit ribosomal RNA", at positions 16 to 509 of the family's 1533-position model. The record is from RNAcentral. Lineage: Bacteria; Pseudomonadati; Bacteroidota.